Molecule: long non-coding RNA, 7512 nt
Filed under: Homo sapiens (human)
Lineage: Eukaryota; Metazoa; Chordata; Mammalia; Primates; Hominidae
Description: HSALNT0317020
Source: RNAcentral
AAGGUGCUUAUUUACUGCACAAGAGUGAUCCCAGAGUGAGGGUACGAUUGGGCCCUGUCGUCCAGGAAUCCUGGAGCGCCGAGAGCGAAGCCCAGAACCAGGGCGAGGACAGACAGUGGGGGUGGGGAGGAGGCUGCAGGAGGCUCCUGGCUGGGAAGGGCUGGGAAGGUGGAAUUCGAAGGGGGCGGGGCUAGGAGGUGGUGGCCCCGCCCACAAGGCCGCCGCCCCGCUUUGCAGCUCGAGCCUGAGCUGCAGCCUGCGCGCUAAUUAUAGACGUGAAUGGAAAGCGGCCGCUUCUGAAUGAUCGCGUUGCUCGAGCUGCCGUUGGAAGCUUAGAAGCAGGUGCUACCGUGCUAGAUACAAAGCGAUCUAUUUAAAAGCCCUCUGUCACGCACGCACACUUACUGACGAAUCCUCUGGCUCUCUCCUACCACCGCCCGGUGGCGGAUUCCGGAAUUGGUUCAAAAGGCCUUGAUCCCGAACACCCAGGACAGAGACAGAGUACUUUUCCUACCUCUUUCGCCUGCAUCCUUAGAAAACUCCCGUGGAUGAGAAGAUCCCCAGGCCUUUACAAGCUGUUGUUUUACAAAAGGAGAAACUGAGGCAGGAAGAGGCGGUGGAUGUGCACCAGAGCACGUGGUGCGUCGGUGCAAUAGCUGAGGGCACAUGGAACAUUCACCAAGAUAAACCAUAUGCUGGAACAUAAAAUUUAUGGAUGUCACCCAUGAAGCAGAGUCCUUCAGACCCUCAAUCAAAAACAAGUCUCAUUUUACAUUAAAUUGGAGGACUAUCUGGAGUCUCUGACCACCGUGUGACAGAAAAGAGAGCAGAAUUGUUGCAUGAUGGGUAACACUCAUCAGUAAUCGCUGUUUGCCAAGCCAUCUGGGAGGAGACCAAAGAGCUAUAAAAUAAGUUCAGGCACGGUGGCUCAUGCCUGUAAUCCCAGCACUUUGGGAGGCCGAGGUGGGUGAAUCACCUGAGGUCAGGAGUUCGAGACCAGCCUGGCCAACAUGGUGAAACCCUGUCUCUACUAAAAAUACAAAAAAAAUAGCUGGGUGUGGUGGUGGGUACCUGUAAUCCCAGCUUCUCAGGAGGCUGAGGCAGGAGAACUGCUUGAACCUGGGAGGCAGAAGUUGCAGUGUGCCGAGAUUGUGCCACUACUCUCCAACCUAGGCAACAGAGCGAAUCUACAUCUCAAAAAAAAAAUAAAUAAAAAUAAAAAAUAUAUACAUAGGUACCAGAGCUGAGAACGUAGCAGCCUGGGACCAUGUCAUUCAGGAGCAAAUAACAAGCCCAGAAAAUGCCUGGGAGAAGUCUUGUACCAGUCCACUUCAUGGUUUAGUAGGAACAUCAUGGACUCAGCUGACAAUGAUUUGGGCAUGGCCCUGCCACUAACCCACGAGAAGCUGUAGACCAGUCCCUUUCAUUUCCCCUUUCUGGGGACCCGCUUCCCCUUGUGCAAAAUGGAGUCACUAGAAUCUAGUGUCUUGAUCUCCAAGAUGAUUUCCACUUUUACCUUUCUGUGUCUAUUUUUGUGUUCCUUCUAAUUCCCCUGGGUCUUCAAGGAAAGGAUGAAUAAUUCUUGGUAGUCUUUGUGUUAGAAGGCAGGGGGUGGUCUGAGACCUGCACAGGGCAUAUUUGCUUAUAUGGAUUGGCUUAUAUCGCCUCCCAAAUCCUGGAUAUGCUCAGACAUAUCCCAAAAGGUUCUACAAGGACAUAUUUACAAACAGCUUCCAAACAGCAGUAAAAUGGCAAAACAAGCCUUGCAAGAGAAAUUCUGUAUACCAGACAAUUUAAUUCUGAACAAUGGACCACAUGAGGGUGUAUAAAUAACUAAUUAUGCUGGACAACAUGAACAGCUUUUUUGGAUGAUUGCAAAAUUGGGGAGGAAGGAAAUGUGAUGGGUAUUUAUAUAUUUGGGCUUCAGUCAAAGAUUUCAUAUUCAUUCUUAAGCAAUUUGACUUACAAAAUUAGCUCAGACUAGAACAUGGUCAAACGACUUGAAACUGGAAGAAAGUCUGCUAUCCCAGGGGGAUGGUUUGUGCCCAAGAAUCCAAGGGAAUGGAAUGGAGUACUGUGUGUGUGCUCCUGCAGCCUCUGCAGGCUGCUCAGUGAGAGGUUUCUUGGUCUUCAGAAGGACCUGCAGAAAAGGAGUAGGGACUGUUUUGGAGCAUUUGUAAUAAGUGUUCCAAUAUGAAUCCACUUCAUCUUGUUAUCACACAAGCACACGCUCCUGAACACGCAGGUCCACAUUUUUCCUAGGUUCCUCCUAUUCCAUCAGUACUAUGCCAAGCCUUGAAGUGACGGAGACUGGAUUUCUGGGAGGUGCAUGGGGACACUUGGCUCACCUCUAAAUCCAGUGCCUGCUACUACUUCUAGUGCCUACAUACCAGGUACACAGAAAUACUUGUUGAACCAACUAGUUUUUUAAUGAAAUAAGUAGCAGACUGUCCUUGUGAAAACAGAAUCCUUUGUGAACACAGAGGGGACAGAACAGUUCAUUCUGACCUUAGGGAUUGCAAGGCCCUUUCCUUCUUGCCGCAGGGCCUUCAAACAUCUAUUUGCCCCUUCUUGCCCUCUGCCUAAAUCCUAUUCAUCUUUAUAUUGCUUCCAGAGAACCUUCCCUAACUCCAAACCCCUCCUCCUUGUCCUUGCAUCAUUCUAUUUCAUGACAUCAUGUCCUUUCUCUUCAAAAUACAUAGCACAACUUACUAUUAAUAUCUAUUUGUGUGUUUGUUUGUUGGGAAUCUACUCCUACAAUAGACUAUGAGCAAUAAUGUCUUUCUUAUCCAUGGCUAUCUCGCCAGUACCUACUAUGGUGCCUGAUGCCUAGGAGUGCAUAGUAAAUAUUUGUAAGUUGUUUAUUGAAUAAAUGCAUAUUAUUUACAAAGGAAGUAGAAUUUGAGCAGGACCUUGAAAAAGAUUUUGACAGAGAUAUGCAAGAAGAGAAUUCGAGGAGGAUGGAACAACCUAAUCAGAAAAAAAAGAACAGGAAAAGUACACAUAGGAGUAAUUUGAAUGGCCAUGAGAAUGUCAGUGUUUGCCAGAAAUGACAUGCUAAGAAACAGCAGUGGGAAUCACCCUGAUUUUUGCAGAAGAUAAAUAAAACUACCAGAGCUGAGCCUUAGACAAGUGGCUCAAGAAGUUCCAUGAAUAAUCGAUGGUUAAAAAGAGAGACUGGAGAGAAGGAUAUUAUUAGGAGGCUGCUAAAGUGACGCAUGCAAAAACCGAUGGGGGAUCAGACAGAGCAGCUGUGGUGGGAAUCGAAAGAUCAAAGACUGCAGAAUGAUUGAAUAGAAUGCGUGCAGGAGAAAAGAGAAGGAGAAAUUAGCAAUAAUCCUCAAGUUUCUACCUGGGAGGGUGGGUGAAGCAGGUGGAGCUGUGAGCAGAGAUUGCAAACACAGCAAAAGUCAGAAGACUUUGGGCUGGAAGUAAGAGAGCUUUAUAUAGACAUCUGGUGUUGGAAGUGUUGAAGAGCCACCAGCGAGAGCUAUCUGGUAGAAAAAAGAGAGAUCUGAACUUAGAUGUGGGUUUAAGUAACACCUGCCCAGAGUGGGCAGCUGGAGUUGGUGAGCCAACUCAGAGUCCCAAGAAUGCCUUAGGACCCACCUUCUUUACUUUUUCUGUACAGUAACUGAGCUUGAGCCUCAAAUAGUGGUCCCCGAAGAAGGCUUCUAGAAUCCGCCAGGCUGCUAGGAUCUAUACUGGCUUCCUUUGUUGGACAUUUGGUAGAAGUGAGAGACAGGACUAGCCGGAUUUCCUAGGCCAACUAAGAAUCCCUAACCCUAGCUGGGAAGGUGACCGUGUCCACCUUUAAGCAUGGGGCUUGCAACUUAGCUCACACCCAACCAAUCAGAUAGUAAAGAGAGCUCACUAAAAUGCUAAUUAGGCAAAAACAGGAGGUAAAGAAAUAGCCAAUGAUCUAUCGCCUGAGAGCACAGCAGAAGAGACAAUGAUCAGGAUAUAAACACAGGCAUUCGAGCCGGCAAUGGCAACCCCUUCAGGUCCCCUCCCUUUGUAUGGGAGCUCUGUUUUCACUCUAUUAAAUCUUGCAACUGCACUCUUCUGGUCCCUGUUUGUUACGGCUGGAGCUGAGCUUUCGCUCGCCGCCCACUGAUGCUGGCCGCCGUCACAGACCCACCGCUGACUUCCAUCCCCCUGGAUCCCGCAGGGUGUCCGCUGUGCUCCUGAUCCAGCAAGGCGCCCACUGCUGCUCCUGAUCGGGCUAAAGGCUUGUCAUUGUUCCUGCACAGCUAAGUGUCCGGGUUCGUCCUAAUCGAGCUGAACACUAGUCACUGGGUUCCAUGGUUCUCUUCCGUGACCCACGGCUCCUAAUAGAGCUAUAACACUCACCGCAUGGCCCAAGAUUCCAUUCUUUGGAAUCCGUGAGGCCGAGAACCCCACGUCAGAGAAUACGAGGCUUGCCACCAUCUUGGAAGCAGCCCGCCACCAUCUUGGAAGCAGCCCGCCACCAUCUUGGAAGCAGCCCACCACCAUCUUGGGAGCUCUGGGAGCAAAGACCCCUGGUAACAGAAGCAUGUUCCACAUAUCGUUGAGUUGUUGUCAAGAUGUAGAUGUUGUUCUUGCAUACUGGAAAAUCACCUCCUACUUCGAAUAUCUUCUUGAUUCUCUCUCCUGCUGUGCCCUUCUAACCAGCACAUGAAGCCUAAGUUCCCUUUCUCUUGACUCUCUCCUACCCCACACUGCAAGUAAUCAAAUCGGAGUUCUCCCUGACCAUGAUGAAGUUUGUGUCCCCAUUAAGGAAAUAAUAAACAUGGGGAAAAUAUCCCACAUAGAGCUAGAAAAGAAUUCUCCUAAAAGUAGAAACUUUAGCUUUGACUGAUAGAAAAGGUAUACCCCUGAAUGUUUCCAAACUUAAGUCACAAGGAAGCCCAGCCAAGUACCAGACUGGUGUGAAAUAAUUUCCCCAGGUGAAGAGUACCACACUAUUAGUCGACCGUGCAAUUGAAGAAGAGAACGUUGCUUUUCACCAGUCAUCUAGGGUCUGGAAUGGGAAGGCACGAGGCCAGUGUGAUGUAGACAUACUCAGCUCUCAAAGAAUUUUUCCUUGAAAGAGAAAAACAAAGGCAGGAUGAGAACUCAAUCAGCUGCUUCCUUCGGGAGACUGGGUGUAGCAGGACGGGCCCCUCACAAAUAUGCCAAGAAUGAAGCUUUUAAAUUACCACCACCAAGAAUACUGGGUCAGAAGUUCCUAGAAUUACUUCCUACUUGGAUCAAAGAAGCAUAGAGGUACAACAAGGUCUGACAUCAGAUGUGAAGUGAUUUUGAACCCUGACCCACACUCCGAUCCCCUUGGAGAACAUAACUACUCCUGGAGGUGGAAGCGGAUCCUGCCUUAAUGGAUAAAAACUGAGACAAGUCUUUUGUUCUUUUUAAUACCCCAAAGGGUUGAGCUUAAGCCUUUCUGUAGGAGCAAAGACAUCACCGUAAGGCAAACAGUGCUAGUACAGAACCAUAAAACCCUUCUCAGCAUCUAAAGGAUACCCAUUAUGUUCAUCUCAAAGUCAGAGUUAUUUACUUUGCCUUUUACGUUGACAUUCUUUUCUCUACUAUGAUAGUUAGCAAAAUUGAAUGAGAAAAGGCCCAAGUUCAAAAUCCGCUCUGCUGCUUACAGGCCUUCUUGGUUUCAAUAGUCAAACCCAGUGAUGAUUCUUGCCUGAGCAAUCUCAGGUUGUUAUGAGGAGUAGAGAAUAUGUAAAUAUGGGAAAGGGCUUUGUGACUAUUCAGCUCUCCACAUGUAAGCGGUUGUAAUCAUUCACUGACUAAACCUAUCAGGUGGAUUUUCUUCAACCUCAGUUGCUGCUUCAUUCUCCCUUAGGGUCAUGAAGUAUCAGCAAGAGGCUGUUACUAGUUUUCUUGGGCUGCCUCCUGUCUGUCUCAGUCUGUAUCUACAAUGGAACCGACAAUGAAUCAUAUCUGUGGAGCACCAGGCAACUCAGCACUCCAGUCUGUUAAAGUGUCUUGCACUGCUUAUAUUACAGCAAAUAAAACAGGAAAGGAAAAUAUAUUUAUUCCCAUCAUUAAUAAUCCAUCAUGCCUAGUCAAAUUGGUCAUAGUAAACUGGAACAAUCACUCUUGCCUACAACAGUCUCAAUAUAAGGGAGUUCAUUGUGCUAGCUGGGAACUUGGGACCAGAUCAUCCUGGAUCUCAGUGGGCCACUUUCUGGCUGAGUGACCCCACAAAGGUCACUUAAUUCCUCAUAAUUUCCUUAUAGAUAUAAUCUUGGUUAAUAAUAACAACCUAUGUAAAGAGUGAGCAUAUUAAGUUAAAUGAGGAAAUAAUGAUAAAAGUGUUACAUAGUAAGUCCGCAAGCACAUUUGGGUUCCCUUCUUCCUUGCAGGUGAAGGGAAAAUAAAUAAUAAUAAUGAUAGCUGGCUGGGCAAGGUAGCUCACACUUGUAAUCCCAGUACUUGGAGAGGCUAAGGAGGGAGGAUUGCUUGAGCACAGGAAUUUGAGACUAGCCUGGGCAAUAUGGCAAAACCCUAGCUCUACAAAAAUGCAAAAAUUAGCUGAGUACGGCAGCAUGCACCUGUAGUCCUAGCUACUCAGGAGGCUGCAGUGGGAGAAUAGCUUAAGUCUGGGAAGUUGAGGCUGCAGUGAGCUGUGAUUGUGCACUGCACUCCAGCCUGGGUGACAGAGCAAGACCCUGUCUCAAAAAAAAAAAAAAAAAGUAAAUAAUGAUAGGUAAUACUUACAUAGCAUCUAUGAUACAGCAGGCACUGUUCUGAGAGUUCUACUUAUUAAUAUAUUAGCUCACCUAGUCUUUGCAACUCUGAGAUAGAAUGCUGUUUUCAUCUAACCUUUACAGGUGGGUAAGCUAAAGCUCAGUGAGAUUAUAUACUUACCUGGGGUCACAUAGCUCACAGGGACAGAACCAGGAUUUAACUCAGGUGCUCUGACACUACAGUGCUGUGCUAACCUACCAUGCUACAACGCUGCCCAUGAUUAUGGAUAUUAAUCCACAGGCUUCUUUCAACUUUAUAUUCUGAGAGCUGAAACAUAGGCUUUUUACCCCUAAUUAAUAUGGCAUGUCUUCCUAGACAAUAUAUAUUCUAAUUACAUUUUUAAUAUCUGUCAUUUGUAAUGAUUCAGCUUCUGAUAAGCUUGUUAACUGAAUGUCAUUUUUUUCUCCACCUAAACUACCUUUGGAAAGUUCACACACAUCAUGCAGUUAUUUAUGAUUUGAGGAAGAGCAUCAUAUAUGUAAACUAAAAAAUGUUUAUUAAAGUUAGAAUUAAUAAUGAUUGAUUUGAUUUCACUGAUGAGUUAAUUGGGGAAAUGAACAGGUAAUUGGGUAUUUACAAAAGAAGGUCAAGAAUGGUUUGUGGGAGUAGUCAGUCAGAUCCAUUUCCUAAGCUUUUGCUCAGCCUUUCCUUCCUAAAACCCAGCCUGCUGGGGAGCAGGAAAAGAAAGCAAGGCACCGUACAUUUGCUUACGACUGACACACUUUUCUCACAAAAGCUGUGCUCUGAUCUGAUCUACUCUGACAC